Condylura cristata (star-nosed mole) is the source of this 1493-nucleotide RNA transcript. It is a transcript of the gene named Yip1 domain family, member 2, with no coding region annotated. The record is from RefSeq and is a predicted model, not a curated record. Lineage: Eukaryota; Metazoa; Chordata; Mammalia; Eulipotyphla; Talpidae. The transcript has 9 exons.
GGGCGGGAUACACCUGUGGGGCCGCGAAUGCUCUACUGGGUAGGUUCUUUUAGCAGCGUGCCGGGACCCACGGCUGAAUGGUAGACCCCGGGAGGGCCACUGAAGAGGCCUGAGGGUGGCCCUGAUUGACUUCUGUCCUUAGAGUGGGAUGUGGUGACCCCGCGAGAGACGAUGGCAGUUGUCGACGAGUUGGCCUUCCAUGAGUUUGAAGAAGCCACUACUCUGUUGGCUGAAAGCCCUGAUGCAGUCACCACAAGCAGAAAUGAUCAACUGACCCCACAGGGCCAUGUGGCUGUGACUGUGGGCCCAGAUGGUAACUACGGAGCUGAGGAUGAGGAGAGUGACAAGACUGCGCUCCUACAGGAGGAGCAGCAGCAGCCUGGAUUCUGGACCUUUGGCUACUAUCAGAGUUUCUUUGAUGUGGACACAUCUCAGGUCCUGGAACGAAUCAAAGGCUCAAUGCUGCCCCGACCUGGCCACAAUUUUGUACGGCACCACCUGCGGAAUCGGCCAGACCUAUAUGGUCCCUUCUGGAUCUGCGCCACCCUGGCCUUUGUCUUGGCAAUUACUGGCAACCUCACCCUAGUAUUGGCCCAGAGGAGGGACCCAUCCAUCCACUACAGCCCUCAGUUCCACAAGGUGACUGUGGCUGGCAUCACCAUCUAUUGCUAUGCAUGGCUGGUGCCGUUGGCACUGUGGGGCUUCCUGCGGUGGCGUCAGGGCACCCGGGACCACAUGGGCCCUUACACCUUCCUGGAAACUGUGUGUGUCUACGGCUACUCCCUCUUUGUCUUCAUCCCCACUGUGGUUCUGUGGCUUAUUCCCAUCCCAUGGCUGCAGUGGCUCUUUGGGGCGCUGGCCCUGGCCCUGUCAGCUGCCGGCUUGGUGUUCACCCUCUGGCCUGUUGUCCGUGAGGACACCAGGCUGGUGGCCGCGGUGCUGCUCUCCACCAUCGUGCUGCUUCAUGCUCUCCUGGCCAUGGGCUGUAAGGUUCGGUUCAGUUUUACUUCUUUCAGCCACUGCCUCCAGAGAAUAUGGCUCCUCCACUCCACACUACAUCUCUGACUCCAAAUACACAACUACCAUCUACUCUGCCAACGUCCAUGUCAACCUAAGAAGGGACCACCUACAGGCCUCACAUGAGCGGACACCUGUGCUUGCCCUGCCCCCACAGAUAACGACUAGUGGCUCCUUUGACACUUCAAGAUCACUCUCUACUUUCCAGACUUUUCUUACAAAGCAAACACUUUUAUUUUCUAUGCAAAGGUGAUUGAGAGUUUAUAUAAAGGCGGGAGAGGGACAGCUGAGCAGGGACCUUCUAGUGUGGCUCAGGCAGGAGGAUGCAGCUUCAGGGAGGCUCUGGGCUGCCUGCUGGGCCUUCUGCUACCCCUGGUGGGAUAGGUGGGAGAGCAAAAGGGCCACCUCAGCCUCAACUGUGCUUGCCCUCCCAGGAUGACCAAUUAACAGAGCCUUGGCCUAGCCUGUGCUCCUCC